UGGCUCUCGCAUCGAUGAAGAACGCAGCGAAAUGUGAUAAGUAAUGUGAAUUGCAGAAUUCAGUGAAUCAUCGAAUCUUUGAACGCACCUUGCGCUCUCUGGUAUUCCGGAGAGCAUGUCUGUUUGAGUGUCAUGAACUCUUCAACACACCGGUUCCUAGCUGGACCAGGAGCGUGUUUGGAUUUUGAGUGUUGCUAUUCAGUUAGCUCGUUCGUAAUACAUUAGCAUCUUAAUUUCGUAAUCGGAUUGACUCGGCGUAAUAGACUAUUCGCUGAGGACACCAGACUGUGUUGUUUGGUGGCCGAGACAUGGAAAAAGGGACGCUUCAAACCCUUGCAAGUCAUUCUAAGAUUAGACCUCAGAUCAGGCAGGACUACCCGCUGA
This 384-nucleotide unclassified non-coding RNA is filed under the name uncultured fungus. RNAcentral describes it as "partial contains 5.8S ribosomal RNA and internal transcribed spacer 2". The stretch from base 1 to 133 matches the Rfam family "5.8S ribosomal RNA", at positions 22 to 154 of the family's 154-position model. The record is from RNAcentral. Lineage: Eukaryota; Fungi.